RNAcentral lists this ribosomal RNA (205 nucleotides) under uncultured bacterium. RNAcentral's name for it is "partial 16S ribosomal RNA". It matches the Rfam family "Bacterial small subunit ribosomal RNA", at positions 570 to 774 of the family's 1533-position model. The record is from RNAcentral.
CGUAGGCGGCUUUGUAAGUCCGUUGUGAAAUCCCUCGGCUCAACCGAGGAACUGCGACGGAUACUGCUCGGCUUGAGUCCCGGAGAGGGUAGCGGAAUUCCCAGUGUAGCGGUGAAAUGCGUAGAUAUUGGGAGGAACAUCGGUGGCGAAGGCGGCUACCUGGACGGGUACUGACGCUGAUGCGCGAAAGCUAGGGGAGCAAACA